This 1447-nucleotide long non-coding RNA is filed under the name Numida meleagris (helmeted guineafowl). RNAcentral describes it as "lncRNA (ENSNMEG00000002401.1)". Lineage: Eukaryota; Metazoa; Chordata; Aves; Galliformes; Numididae. The record is from RNAcentral.
AUGGGGGGUGUACUGGGAGGGGUAUGCAAGGGAGAGAAAGGAAUGGAAACAAAGGGAAGGGAGAUGGGUUGUAUAGUGGGAGUGGAGAGCAAGGGAAUGGAAGGGAAGGGAAAUGGGGGAUGUAGUGGAAAGGGAGAGCAAGGGAAUGGAAGGAAAGUUAAAUGGGGUUGUAGUGGGAAAGGAGAGGAAUGCAGAGGAAGGGUAUUGAAAGGAAUGGAAGGGAAGGGAAAUGGGGGAUGUAGUGGGAAAGGAGAGCAAGGGAAUGGAAGGGAAUGGAAGGGAAGGGAAAAGGGGGGUGUAGUGGGGAGGGAGGGGAAGGGAAGGGAAGGGAAAUGGUGUUGCAGUUGGAAGGGAGAGAAUGGGAAUGGAAGGGAAUGGAAGGGAAUGGAAGGGAAGGGAAAUGGGAGUGUAGUGGGAAGGGAGAGGAAGGUAGAAAAAGGGAAUUGAAGGGAAUGGAAGGGAAGGGAACUGGGGGAUGAAGUGGCAAGGGAGAGCAAGAGAAAGGAAGGGAAGGGAAAAGAGGUGUGCAGAGGGAAGAUAGAGCAAGGGAAUGGAAGGGAAGGGAAAUGGGGGGUGUAGUGGAAAGGGAGAGAUAAAGGGAAUGGAACGAAAGGGAAAUUGGGGGUGUAGUGGGAGGGGUAUGCAAGGGAGAGCAAGGAUUGGAAGAGAAGGGAAGGGAAAUGGCGGGUAUAGUGGGAAGGGAGAGCAAGGGAAUGGAACGGAACGUAAAUGGGGCAUGUAGUGGAAAGAGAGAGCAAGGGAAUAGAAGGGAAGGGAAAUGGGGUGUGAAGCGGGAAGGGAGAGCAAGGAAUGGAAGGGAAUGGGAGGGAAGGGAAAAGGCGGGUGCAAAGGGGAGGUAGAGCAAGGAAAUUGAAGGGAAAGAAAGGGAAUGGAAGGGAAGGGAAAUGGGGGGUGUAGAGGUAAGGGAGAUAAAGGGACUGGAAGGGAAGGGAAAUGGGGGUUGUAGUGGGAAGGGAGAUAAAGGGAAUGGAAGGGAAGGGAAAUGGGGUUGAAGUGGGAGGGGGAUGGAAGGGAGAGCAAGAGAAUGGAAGGGAAGGGAAGGGAAAUGGGGGCUAUAGCGGGAAGGGAGAGCAAGGGAAUGGAUGGGAAGGGAAUUGGGGGUGUAUUGGGAAGGAAGAGUAAGCAAAUGGAAGGGAAGGUAAUUGGGGGGUGUAGUGGGAAGGGAGAGGAAGGGAGAGAAAGGGAAUUGUAGGGAAUGGAAGGGAAGGGAAAUGGGGAAUGAAGUGGGAAGGGAAAGCAAGGGAAAGGACGGGAAGGGAAAAGGCGUGUGUAGUGGGAAGAUAGAGCAAGGGAAUGGAAGGGAAGGGAAAUGGGGGGUGUAGGGGGAAGGGAGAUAAAGGGAAUGGAAGGGAGGGGAAAUGGGGGGUGUAGUGGGAAUGGUAUGCAAGGGAGAGCAUGGAAUGGAAGGGAAGGGAAGGGAAAUGGG